UUAAAUAUAAUUUUUAAAGUUUCUUAGUUUUUUAACUAAAAUAGUUUGGCAGCGAGCGAAUCUUAUUAGGGGAAGGUGUGUUGUAAAGGAUGAUCCGCCUAUUAAUUUACUUUUAUUAUGUUGGUGUAUAUCUGGUUUAAUAUUAUUGCUCUAAUAGCUUAAUUUGUGUAUAAGUAUUUAAGCCAAGUCUAUGUGCUGCUUGUAAAAGAUUUCAUGCGUUACAUUUAUAAAUUUAUUCUUGUAAAUUGGGUUUUGUUUAUAUUGAGGACUUAAAAGUAAUGUAGAAUUAGUUUGUCUAUGUGAAAAGGGUUUAGCUUGGGUACAACACACCGCCCGUCCCCCCUCGGUA
RNAcentral lists this ribosomal RNA (349 nucleotides) under Mesocestoides corti. Its description in RNAcentral is "partial 12S ribosomal RNA". Lineage: Eukaryota; Metazoa; Platyhelminthes; Cestoda; Cyclophyllidea; Mesocestoididae. The record is from RNAcentral.